AGAGUUUGAUCCUGGCUCAGGACGAACGCUGGCGGCAUGCCUAAUACAUGCAAGUCGAGCGAACAGAUGAAGUGCUUGCACUUCUGACGUUAGCGGCGAACGGGUGAGUAACACGUAAGGAAUCUACCUAUAAGCGGGGGAUAACAUUCGGAAACGGGUGCUAAUACCGCAUAAUAUCUUCUUCCGCAUGGAAGAAGAUUGAAAGACGGCUCUGCUGUCACUUAUAGAUGACCUUGCGGUGCAUUAGUUAGUUGGUGGGGUAACGGCCUACCAAGACGAUGAUGCAUAGCCGACCUGAGAGGGUGAUCGGCCACAUUGGGACUGAGACACGGCCCAAACUCCUACGGGAGGCAGCAGUAGGGAAUCUUCCGCAAUGGGCGAAAGCCUGACGGAGCAAUGCCGCGUGAGUGAAGAAGGCCUUCGGGUCGUAAAACUCUGUUAUAAGAGAAGAACAAAUUGUAGAGUAACUGCUACAGUCUUGACGGUAUCUUAUCAGAAAGCCACGGCUAACUACGUGCCAGCAGCCGCGGUAAUACGUAGGUGGCAAGCGUUGUCCGGAUUUAUUGGGCGUAAAGGGAGCGCGGGUGGUUUCUUAAGUCUGAUGUGAAAGCCCACGGCUUAACCGUGGAGGGUCAUUGGAAACUGGGAAACUUGAGUACAGAAGAGGAAUGUGGAACUCCAUGUGUAGCGGUGGAAUGCGUAGAUAUAUGGAAGAACACCAGUGGCGAAGGCGACAUUCUGGUCUGUUACUGACACUGAGGCUCGAAAGCGUGGGGAGCAAACAGGAUUAGAUACCCUGGUAGUCC
Molecule: ribosomal RNA, 806 nt
Filed under: uncultured bacterium
Lineage: Bacteria
Description: bacterial SSU rRNA
Rfam family: Bacterial small subunit ribosomal RNA
Source: RNAcentral